GACGAACGCUGGCGGCGUGCUUAACACAUGCAAGUCGAACGGAAAGGCCUUGCUUUUGUGGGGUGCUCGAGUGGCGAACGGGUGAGUAACACGUGAGUAACCUGCCCUUGACUUUGGGAUAACUUCAGGAAACUGGGGCUAAUACCGGAUAGGAGCUCCUGCUGCAUGGUGGGGGUUGGAAAGUUUCGGCGGUUGGGGAUGGACUCGCGGCUUAUCAGCUUGUUGGUGGGGUAGUGGCUUACCAAGGCUUUGACGGGUAGCCGGCCUGAGAGGGUGACCGGAGACAUAGGGAAUGAGAUAAGGCAGAGAGGCAGACGGGAGGCAGAAGGGGGGAAGAUUGAAAGAUGGGCGGAAGAAGGAUGCAGCAACGCCGCGUGGGGGAUGAAGGACUGCGGGUUGUAAACCGGUUGCGCCUGUGAAGAAGCGGGAGUGAAGGUAAUGGGUAAAGAAGCACCGGCUAAAUACGUG
Molecule: ribosomal RNA, 468 nt
Filed under: uncultured bacterium
Lineage: Bacteria
Description: partial 16S ribosomal RNA
Rfam family: Bacterial small subunit ribosomal RNA
Source: RNAcentral